UNGGAGUAUUGCAACUGGUUCAGCCCAUU
This 29-nucleotide non-coding RNA is filed under the name Mus musculus (house mouse). Lineage: Eukaryota; Metazoa; Chordata; Mammalia; Rodentia; Muridae. The record is from RNAcentral.